This 246-nucleotide ribosomal RNA is filed under the name uncultured Oligosphaera sp. RNAcentral describes it as "partial 16S ribosomal RNA". It matches the Rfam family "Bacterial small subunit ribosomal RNA", at positions 796 to 1041 of the family's 1533-position model. Lineage: Bacteria; Pseudomonadati; Lentisphaerota; Oligosphaeria; Oligosphaerales; Oligosphaeraceae. The record is from RNAcentral.
CACGCCGUAAACGUUGUGUGCCAGAUGUGGGUGGGUUCGGCCCCAUCCGCGUCCAAGCUAACGCGAUCAGCACACCGCCUGGGGACUACGGCCGCAAGGCUAAAACUCAAAGGAAUUGACGGGGGCCCGCACAAGCGGUGGAGCAUGUUGCUUAAUUCGAGGCAACGCGAAGAACCUUACCCAGGUUUGACAUGCAGUGGACGCGCGGUGAAAGCCGCGUUCCCUUCGGGGCCGCUGCACAGAUGC